Molecule: unclassified non-coding RNA, 284 nt
Filed under: plant metagenome
Description: partial contains small subunit ribosomal RNA, internal transcribed spacer 1, and 5.8S ribosomal RNA
Rfam family: Eukaryotic small subunit ribosomal RNA (bases 1-53)
Source: RNAcentral
GGAAGUAAAAGUGUAACAAGGUUUCCGUAGGUGAACCUGCGGAAGGAUCAUUAUUGUAUAACCGAGGUGCGAGGGCUGUCGCUGACCCGAAAGGACGUGCACGCCCGAGUGCCCUCACACACAUCCAUCUCACCCCUAUGUGCACCACCGCGUGGGUCCCCCUUUGGCUUGUUCGGAGGGGGGCUUACGUUUUCACACAAACUUUGUAUGCAGUGUAGAAUGUAUUUUUUGUUUUUGCGAUCACGCAAUCAAUACAACUUUCAACAACGGAUCUCUUGGCUCUC